UACGGAGGGUCCAAGCGUUAUCCGGAUUCAUUGGGUUUAAAGGGUCCGCAGGCGGGAAAAUAAGUCAGUGGUGAAAUCCUACAGCUUAACUGUAGAACUGCCAUUGAUACUGUUUUUCUUGAGUAUAGAUGAAGUGGGCGGAAUGUGUCAUGUAGCGGUGAAAUGCAUAGAUAUGACACAGAACACCGAUUGCGAAGGCAGCUGGCUACACAAAUAUUGACGCUGAGGCACGAAAGCGUGGGGAUCAAACAGG
Molecule: ribosomal RNA, 253 nt
Filed under: uncultured bacterium
Lineage: Bacteria
Description: partial 16S ribosomal RNA
Rfam family: Bacterial small subunit ribosomal RNA
Source: RNAcentral